This 21-nucleotide microRNA is filed under the name Schistosoma mansoni. RNAcentral's name for it is "sma-miR-71b-3p". Its record names the gene sma-miR-71b-3p. Lineage: Eukaryota; Metazoa; Platyhelminthes; Trematoda; Strigeidida; Schistosomatidae. The record is from miRBase by way of RNAcentral.
CCUCAUACUGAGUCUUUCCCG